RNAcentral lists this ribosomal RNA (279 nucleotides) under uncultured bacterium. Its description in RNAcentral is "partial 16S ribosomal RNA". It matches the Rfam family "Bacterial small subunit ribosomal RNA", at positions 506 to 784 of the family's 1533-position model. The record is from RNAcentral.
UGCCAGCCGCCGCGGUAAUACGAAGGGGGCUAGCGUUGUUCGGAAUCACUGGGCGUAAAGCGCACGUAGGCGGAUUUGUAAGUUAGGGGUGAAAUCCCGGGGCUCAACCUCGGAACUGCCUUUGAUACUGCAAGUCUAGAGUCCGAGAGAGGUGAGUGGAAUUCCUAGUGUAGAGGUGAAAUUCGUAGAUAUUCGGAGGAACACCAGUGGCGAAGGCGCCAUCCUGGAUGAGUAUUGACGCUGAGGCGCGAAAGCGUGGGGAGCAAACAGGAUUAGAUA